This 915-nucleotide ribosomal RNA is filed under the name uncultured marine archaeon. RNAcentral describes it as "bacterial SSU rRNA". It matches the Rfam family "Archaeal small subunit ribosomal RNA", at positions 1 to 922 of the family's 1478-position model. The record is from RNAcentral.
UUCCGGUUGAUCCUGCCGGAGGCUACCGCUAUUGGAGUUCGAUUAAGCCAUGCGAGUCCAGAGCUUUCGGAGCUCGGCGUACCGCUCAGUAACACGUGGGUAACCUAACCUAUGCAGGGGAAUAACCUCGGGAAACUGAGAAUAAUGCCCCAUAGUCCACUACGCCUGGAACGGUGAGUGGAUGAAAGCUCAGGCGGCAUAGGAUGGGCCUGCGGCGUAUCAGGUUGUAGGGGGUGUAAAGUACCCUCUAGCCCUCUACGCGUACGGGUGUUGGGAGACAUAGCCCGGAGAUGGAUUCUGAGACACGAAUCCAGACCCUACGGGGUGCAGCAGGCGCGAAAACUUGGCAAUGCGAGCAAUCGUGACCAGGGAACUCCAAGUGGCUGGGGUAAGACCCAGUCUUUUCAGAACUCUUCAAAGGUUUUAGAAUAAGGGGUGGGUAAGGACGGUGCCAGCCGCCGCGGUAAUACCGGCGCCUCAAGUGGUAGUCGCUUUUAUUGGGCCUAAAACGUCCGUAGCCGGUCUGAUACAUUCGUGGGUAAAUCAACCAGCUUAACUGGUUGAAUUCUGCGAGGACGGUCAGACUUGGGACCGGGAGAGGUGUGGGGUACGCUCAGGGUAGGGGUAAAAUCCUGUCAUCCUGAGCGGACCACCUGUUGCGAAGGCGCCACACUAGAACGGAUCCGACGGUCAGGGACGAAGCCUAGGGGCACGAACCGGAUUAGAUACCCGGGUAGUCCUAGGUGUAAACGCUGUGGACUUGAUGUUGGGGGUGCUCCGAGCACUCUCAGUGUCGAAGCGAAGGUGAUAAGUCCACUGCCUGGGAAGUACGGUCGCAAGGCUGAAACUUAAAGGAAUUGGCGGGGGAGCACCGCAACCUGAGGAUUGUGCGGUUUAAUUGGAGUCAACGCCGGA